RNAcentral lists this long non-coding RNA (429 nucleotides) under Homo sapiens (human). RNAcentral's name for it is "HSALNT0393281". Lineage: Eukaryota; Metazoa; Chordata; Mammalia; Primates; Hominidae. The record is from RNAcentral.
CCAGCCACUCAGGAACCUUCCAGAAGCGCGGUUCCAAGACCGGCCACCGGGAGGGCGGGCGGACUGGGUUCUCCCAGCUAGGUCGCAGUGGGCGAUGGGGAUCCCCAAGGGUGGGCCGAGAGCUGACGGAUCGGCAGCGCUGGUUAAGGCCCCGCACCUGCAGCCCCAGUGACCUUGAACGAUUCCGCUCUGCGGCGGGUGUCCCUAAACUAGCAGUUUAGGGUGUCAGAGUUCCCGAGAGGACAAGAUAGUGUAUAUACUGGACUCCCCGUGAGCAGAAGUAAUUUUCACGCUCUGGCUCUCACACCUGAGCACACAUAGCAAACGUGAAUGCAUAUGCUGGUUGCCAUACUUGAAACUUCAUAGCAUUCUUCAUAACCCCUGCACCAGCCUUCUGCACUACCUACCAAUAAAUGCAUGCGUAUUUCA